Pipistrellus kuhlii (Kuhl's pipistrelle) is the source of this 1270-nucleotide long non-coding RNA. RefSeq lists it as uncharacterized. The record is from RefSeq and is a predicted model, not a curated record. NCBI's taxonomy places the organism in Eukaryota, Metazoa, Chordata, Mammalia, Chiroptera, Vespertilionidae. The transcript has 4 exons.
GAGAAGCACAAGUGUUUCCUACAUGGGCUUUGUGGUGCGUUACACAAUGUCAGUUUAUGUUUGAAAUUCAAAUGCUCAUGAGAGUCGGAUCCUUUUUCAGUUGUUCUCAACGGUCCCAAAUAAAGCUGCACCCCUGGGGCAACAUGUGAGCCUGGGUCUCACGGGGCCAGGAAGGCUGUCCUUCCAGGAAGGGCUGCACAGAGCCUGGGAACGGCCAGCCAGCUCACAAGAAUGAAGAGAAUGUCGGGAGAGGAAGUGGUGGCUGUGAGUCAGCAUGAGUCACCUCGUUCCAAUGAGAAUGAAGACUGAGUUUCAAACCGAUUUUCCAGGCGGGCUGGGCCUGAGCCGGUGUCUGUCUCCUGGUCAUUGCUGCCUGCUCCUGGAAGGUGGAGCCACCAGCUUCUCCCUGGAAGGCUCUGCAUGUGAAGUCUUCGGCCCACAUCUGGAUUGUUAAAUGCAAGCUCACACCGGGAAGCUGGCUUUCCAGCUGACUCACCAGGGCGACGUUCUCCCCCGGAUGUUCGGGUCCACCGGGCUUCGCCGCUUGGAAAGCCCAGUGUUUCACUGCCGCUGGCAAAUGAGGCCUCUGAGAAAAGUGAUGCAGGCACUUGUGAAGGACUAGCUCCUGUCUACAGGACAUUGGGGGAAAGAUAUGGGAUAAGUCAAUACAGAGUUUGAAGAAAUAAAUACAGACGAUCCCCAAUGGCCGAGCGUGUCGGGACAACAAGGACUGUGUGAGACAAGCCUCGCUCCAGCAGCCUGCAGCCCACGGGAGCCCUUUGCAGAAGGGCCGGGCAGGGCUGCCCUGAGCAGCAUUCCUGCGGCCUAAGAAAGGCCUCUACUCCAGGAGUGUCUGGGGUGCACACAGUACCCUGUGUUCCACGUACUGGAGUGGCUAUCUCUCAGUGUGGUUGGCAGUGACCUGUGUUUUUCAUACAUGUUUUUGUUUCAGAAUAACUGGGAGAUGAAACAGGAAGCUCUAUGACACACUUGAUCGAAAAUGACACAGACCAAAAAAAAAAAAAAAAAAAAAAUCAGGACUCAGCCCCCUGCCAGUGCCUCUACCUGCUGCCUGCUGCCCACGCUGGGAUGCGGUGGCAGGCCUGCCCUGGACCUGACUGGCGGUGCGGACUUCAAGGGCCUCUGCGUUUGCUGAUAUGUGUCUGCAGUGUUAUGUCAUGGUCUCGUCUGGGUGGUUUCCUAUUUAUCUGGCUGUCUCUAUGUGUCUUAAUCCCUUUUUCUUCAUUAAAAGCAAAACUAUAAAAAAAAA